UGCAGUCGANCGAUGAAGCCGCUUCGGUGGUGGAUUAGUGGCGAACGGGUGAGUAACACGUGGGCAAUCUGCCCUUCACUCUGGGACAAGCCCUGGAAACGGGGUCUAAUACCGGAUAAUACUCUGUUCCGCAUGGAACGGGGUUGAAAGCUCCGGCGGUGAAGGAUGAGCCCGCGGCCUAUCAGCUUGUUGGUGGGGUAAUGGCCUACCAAGGCGACGACGGGUAGCCGGCCUGAGAGGGCGANNGNCCANACUGGGACUGAGACACGGCCCAGACUCAUACGGGAGGCAGCAGUGGGGAAUAUUGCACAAUGGGCGAAAGCCUGAUGCAGCGACGCCGCGUGAGGGAUGACGGCCUUCGGGUUGUAAACCUCUUUCAGCAGGGAAGAAGCGCAAGUGACGGUACCUGCAGAAGAAGCGCCGGCUAACUACGUGCCAGCAGCCGCGGUAAUACGUAGGGCGCAAGCGUUGUCCGGAAUUAUUGGGCGUAAAGAGCUCGUAGGCGGCUUGUCACGUCGGAUGUGAAAGCCCGGGGCUUAACCCCGGGUCUGCAUUCGAUACGGGCUAGCUAGAGUGUGGUAGGGGAGAUCGGAAUUCCUGGUGUAGCGGUGAAAUGCGCAGAUAUCAGGAGGAACACCGGUGGCGAAGGCGGAUCUCUGGGCCAUUACUGACGCUGAGGAGCGAAAGCGUGGGGAGCGAACAGGAUUAGAUACCCUGGUAGUCCACGCCGUAANCGUUGGGAACUAGGUGUUGGCGACAUUCCACGUCGUCGGUGCCGCAGCUAACGCAUUAAGUUCCCCGCCUGGNNAGUACGGCCGCAAGGCUAAANCUCAANGGAAUUGACGGGGGCCCGCACAAGCAGCGGAGCAUGUGGCUUAAUUCGACGCAACGCGAAGAACCUUACCAAGGCUUGACAUAUACCGGAANGCAUCAGAGAUGGUGCCCCCCUUGUGGUCGNNAUACAGGNGNUGCAUGGCUGUCGUCAGCUCGUGUCGNGANAUGUUGGGUUAAGUCCCGCAACGANCGCAACCCUUGUUCUGUGUUGCCAGCAUGCCUUUCGGGNUGAUGGGG
Molecule: ribosomal RNA, 1071 nt
Filed under: Streptomyces sp.
Lineage: Bacteria; Bacillati; Actinomycetota; Actinomycetes; Kitasatosporales; Streptomycetaceae
Description: bacterial SSU rRNA
Rfam family: Bacterial small subunit ribosomal RNA
Source: RNAcentral